This 460-nucleotide ribosomal RNA is filed under the name uncultured bacterium. RNAcentral describes it as "partial 16S ribosomal RNA". It matches the Rfam family "Bacterial small subunit ribosomal RNA", at positions 338 to 795 of the family's 1533-position model. The record is from RNAcentral.
CCUACGGGAGGCAGCAGUGAGGAAUAUUGGUCAAUGGGCGCGAGCCUGAACCAGCCAAGUAGCGUGAAGGAUGACUGCCCUACGGGUUGUACACUUCUUUUAUAAAGGAAUAAAGUGAGGCACGUGUGCCUUUUUGUAUGUACUUUAUGAAUAAGGAUCGGCUAACUCCGUGCCAGCAGCCGCGGUAAUACGGAGGGUCCGAGCGUUACUCGGAAUUACUGGGCUUAAAGCGAUCGUAGGCGGUAUGUUAAGUCAAGGGUGAAAGCCCGGGGCUCAACGUUGGAACUGCCUUUGAAACUGGCAAACUGGAGUGUGUGAGAGGAGAGCGGAAGUCGUGGUGGAGGAGUGAAAUCCGUAGAUAUCUGGAGGAACAUCAGGGGAGAAGGCGACUAGCUGGAACAUAACUGACGCUGAGGAGCGAAAGCGUGGGUAGCAAACAGGAUUAGAUACCCCAGUAGUC